CCACGGGGCUCAGCAGUGGGGGAUAUUGCACAAUGGGGGCAACCCUGAUGCAGCGACGCCGCGUGGGCGAAGAAGUAUUUCGGUAUGUAAAGCCCUAUCAGCAGGGAAGAAGAAAUGACGGUACCUGAGUAAGAAGCACCGGCUAAAUACGUGCCAGCAGCCGCGGUAAUACGUAUGGUGCAAGCGUUAUCCGGAUUUACUGGGUGUAAAGGGGGCGCAGACGGCGAUGCAAGCCAGGAGUGAAAGCCCGGGGCCCAACCCCGGGACUGCUCUUGGAACUGCGUGGCUAGAGUGCAGGAGGGGCA
RNAcentral lists this ribosomal RNA (305 nucleotides) under uncultured bacterium. RNAcentral describes it as "bacterial SSU rRNA". It matches the Rfam family "Bacterial small subunit ribosomal RNA", at positions 339 to 659 of the family's 1533-position model. The record is from RNAcentral.